UUAAGCGACUAAGCGUACACGGUGGAUGCCCUGGCAGUCAGAGGCGAUGAAGGACGUGCUAAUCUGCGAUAAGCGUCGGUAAGGUGAUAUGAACCGUUAUAACCGGCGAUUUCCGAAUGGGGAAACCCAGUGUGUUUCGACACACUAUCAUUAACUGAAUCCAUAGGUUAAUGAGGCGAACCGGGGGAACUGAAACAUCUAAGUACCCCGAGGAAAAGAAAUCAACCGAGAUUCCCCCAGUAGCGGCGAGCGAACGGGGAGCAGCCCAGAGCCUGAAUCAGUGUGUGUGUUAGUGGAAGCGUCUGGAAAGGCGCGCGAUACAGGGUGACAGCCCCGUACACAAAAAUGCACAUGCUGUGAGCUCGAUGAGUAGGGCGGGACACGUGGUAUCCUGUCUGAAUAUGGGGGGACCAUCCUCCAAGGCUAAAUACUCCUGACUGACCGAUAGUGAACCAGUACCGUGAGGGAAAGGCGAAAAGAACCCCGGCGAGGGGAGUGAAAAAGAACCUGAAACCGUGUACGUACAAGCAGUGGGAGCACGCUUAGGCGUGUGACUGCGUACCUUUUGUAUAAUGGGUCAGCGACUUAUAUUCUGUAGCAAGGUUAACCGAAUAGGGGAGCCGAAGGGAAACCGAGUCUUAACUGGGCGUUAAGUUGCAGGGUAUAGACCCGAAACCCGGUGAUCUAGCCAUGGGCAGGUUGAAGGUUGGGUAACACUAACUGGAGGACCGAACCGACUAAUGUUGAAAAAUUAGCGGAUGACUUGUGGCUGGGGGUGAAAGGCCAAUCAAACCGGGAGAUAGCUGGUUCUCCCCGAAAGCUAUUUAGGUAGCGCCUCGUGAAUUCAUCUCCGGGGGUAGAGCACUGUUUCGGCAAGGGGGUCAUCCCGACUUACCAACCCGAUGCAAACUGCGAAUACCGGAGAAUGUUAUCACGGGAGACACACGGCGGGUGCUAACGUCCGUCGUGAAGAGGGAAACAACCCAGACCGCCAGCUAAGGUCCCAAAGUCAUGGUUAAGUGGGAAACGAUGUGGGAAGGCCCAGACAGCCAGGAUGUUGGCUUAGAAGCAGCCAUCAUUUAAAGAAAGCGUAAUAGCUCACUGGUCGAGUCGGCCUGCGCGGAAGAUGUAACGGGGCUAAACCAUGCACCGAAGCUGCGGCAGCGACGCUUAUGCGUUGUUGGGUAGGGGAGCGUUCUGUAAGCCUGNGCUGGAGGUAUCAGAAGUGCGAAUGCUGACAUAAGUAACGAUAAAGCGGGUGAAAAGCCCGCUCGCCGGAAGACCAAGGGUUCCUGUCCAACGUUAAUCGGGGCAGGGUGAGUCGACCCCUAAGGCGAGGCCGAAAGGCGUAGUCGAUGGGAAACAGGUUAAUAUUCCUGUACUUGGUGUUACUGCGAAGGGGGGACGGAGAAGGCUAUGUUGGCCGGGCGACGGUUGUCCCGGUUUAAGCGUGUAGGCUGGUUUUCCAGGCAAAUCCGGAAAAUCAAGGCUGAGGCGUGAUGACGAGGCACUACGGUGCUGAAGCAACAAAUGCCCUGCUUCCAGGAAAAGCCUCUAAGCAUCAGGUAACAUCAAAUCGUACCCCAAACCGACACAGGUGGUCAGGUAGAGAAUACCAAGGCGCUUGAGAGAACUCGGGUGAAGGAACUAGGCAAAAUGGUGCCGUAACUUCGGGAGAAGGCACGCUGAUAUGUAGGUGAAGUCCCUCGCGGAUGGAGCUGAAAUCAGUCGAAGAUACCAGCUGGCUGCAACUGUUUAUUAAAAACACAGCACUGUGCAAACACGAAAGUGGACGUAUACGGUGUGACGCCUGCCCGGUGCCGGAAGGUUAAUUGAUGGGGUUAGCGCAAGCGAAGCUCUUGAUCGAAGCCCCGGUAAACGGCGGCCGUAACUAUAACGGUCCUAAGGUAGCGAAAUUCCUUGUCGGGUAAGUUCCGACCUGCACGAAUGGCGUAAUGAUGGCCAGGCUGUCUCCACCCGAGACUCAGUGAAAUUGAACUCGCUGUGAAGAUGCAGUGUACCCGCGGCAAGACGGAAAGACCCCGUGAACCUUUACUAUAGCUUGACACUGAACAUUGAGCCUUGAUGUGUAGGAUAGGUGGGAGGCUUUGAAGUGUGGACGCCAGUCUGCAUGGAGCCGACCUUGAAAUACCACCCUUUAAUGUUUGAUGUUCUAACGUNAUCCGGGUUGCGGACAGUGUCUGGUGGGUAGUUUGACUGGGGCGGUCUCCUCCUAAAGAGUAACGGAGGAGCACGAAGGUUGGCUAAUCCUGGUCGGACAUCAGGAGGUUAGUGCAAUGGCAUAAGCCAGCUUGACUGCGAGCGUGACGGCGCGAGCAGGUGCGAAAGCAGGUCAUAGUGAUCCGGUGGUUCUGAAUGGAAGGGCCAUCGCUCAACGGAUAAAAGGUACUCCGGGGAUAACAGGCUGAUACCGCCCAAGAGUUCAUAUCGACGGCGGUGUUUGGCACCUCGAUGUCGGCUCAUCACAUCCUGGGGCUGAAGUAGGUCCCAAGGGUAUGGCUGUUCGCCAUUUAAAGUGGUACGCGAGCUGGGUUUAGAACGUCGUGAGACAGUUCGGUCCCUAUCUGCCGUGGGCGCUGGAGAACUGAGGGGGGCUGCUCCUAGUACGAGAGGACCGGAGUGGACGCAUCACUGGUGUUCGGGUUGUCAUGCCAAUGGCACUGCCCGGUAGCUAAAUGCGGAAGAGAUAAGUGCUGAAAGCAUCUAAGCACGAAACUUGCCCCGAGAUGAGUUCUCCCUGACNNNNNNNNNNNNNNGUCCUGAAGGAACGUUGAAGACGACGACGUUGAUAGGCCGGGUGUGUAAGCGCAGCGAUGCGUUGAGCUAACCGGUACUAAUGAACCGUGAGGCUUAACCUU
RNAcentral lists this ribosomal RNA (2879 nucleotides) under Escherichia coli. RNAcentral's name for it is "bacterial LSU rRNA". It matches the Rfam family "Bacterial large subunit ribosomal RNA". Lineage: Bacteria; Pseudomonadati; Pseudomonadota; Gammaproteobacteria; Enterobacterales; Enterobacteriaceae. The record is from RNAcentral.